AUGACCGACCUUCAACGUUGAAAUAUGGUUGAAAUAAUGACAGUUGUCGUUUCAACGUUGAAACAACGUUGAUAUAACGUUUAAUGCUAAAUGGUUGAAAACCAACCAGUACAUGACUGACCUUCAACGUUGAAAUAUGGUUGAAAUAAUGACAGUUGUUGUUUCAACGUUGAAACAACGUUGAUAUAACGUUUAAUGCUAAAUGGUUGAAAACCAACCGGUACAUUACCAACCUUCAACGUUGAAAUAUGGUUGAAAUAAUGACAGCUGUUGUUUCAAUUUUGAUUGAAAUGCUAAAUGGUUGAAAAAGGGUAAUAAAAACACUUAUUAAUCAACUUUUUUUUUUUACAAGAUUCAUAUGUUGUAUCAAUUAAUGUAUGCACAGAAUAAAUAAUUUCUGCCUUUUAAAUUAUUAAGAUCAUUAUUAUUAUUAUUUAUUAUCCAUUUACAUUUUUAUCAUGAACCUUCUGGUAUAAAUAUUAUCAACAGCAAUAAAAGAUUGCGCUGCUUUACCACACUGAAACAAUUCCUAUUGGUUAUUUAACCUUAUUUGCUUUGAUUAUGAUUGGUUAAUCUGUCUGUCAUUCAUGAAACUGGCCAAUGAAACUGUGCGCGCCAUUUUAUGUUUGAAAAUAUGACCGUUAUCCUGACCGUCUUUCUGAUCGAGGACGUCAUUUGAAGCGAGACUGGUCUGGCCAAGGGAAGAGCACGAUAGAAAGUGGUCUGCGAGGGCGCGGGUUCAAAAGAUGCAGUCGUCAAUGCACACAACCCAACCAGUACAAAAGUAAUGAAGACCAUGUCCAAAUAUUUAAAAUAUGCACCAGAGAGGAUGGGUGGUGGUGGCCGUAAGAAGACUCUUCCUUGAAGACACUUUUUUUCCUUCUUCUGUUUUAAUGACUGUUGCUAGUAAAAUGUUAAGUUCUACGAAAGACUUCUUGUUCUACAAACUUUCCUUACUUUUACUUGGAUUCUUUUUCACUUAAUUGUUGAGAUUUUAGAAUGUUACGAAAUGAGUACAUAUGUUGGUCACGAAAUGAGUACAUAUGUUUGUUAUUAUUUAUAUAUAGGCUAUUGUGUAUAUUUGCAGUGUGUAUGAAAUUAGAAUUAAAAGCUUUUUCCCUCUGUAUUCUGAUAUCAUUAAACCCUUAAGAAAGUG
Triplophysa dalaica is the source of this 1156-nucleotide long non-coding RNA. RefSeq lists it as uncharacterized. NCBI's taxonomy places the organism in Eukaryota, Metazoa, Chordata, Actinopteri, Cypriniformes, Nemacheilidae. The transcript is spliced from 2 exons. The record is from RefSeq and is a predicted model, not a curated record.